This 253-nucleotide ribosomal RNA is filed under the name uncultured bacterium. Its description in RNAcentral is "partial 16S ribosomal RNA". It matches the Rfam family "Bacterial small subunit ribosomal RNA", at positions 524 to 776 of the family's 1533-position model. The record is from RNAcentral.
UACGGAGGGCGCAAGCGUUGUUCGGAAUUACUGGGCGUAAAGCGCGUGUAGGCGGUUCAGCAAGUCGGUUGUGAAAGCCCCGGGCUCAACUCGGGAAUUGCGUCCGAAACUGCUGAACUGGAGUCCCGGAGAGGAAGGCAGAAUUCCCAAUGUAGGGGUGGAAUCCGUAGAUAUUGGGAGGAAUACCGGUGGCGAAGGCGGCCUUCUGGACGGUGACUGACGCUGAGACGCGAAAGCGUGGGGAGCAAACAGG